Molecule: non-coding RNA, 242 nt
Organism: Pelobates cultripes (western spadefoot toad)
Lineage: Eukaryota; Metazoa; Chordata; Amphibia; Anura; Pelobatidae
Source: the annotation of a GenBank genome assembly
AUGGCAUAUACCAUGGCUAAUGUAAGCAAACUAUGUAUAAAAGCCAGCUCUGGAAUACACUCAUUUGAGAGUCUUGUAAAGCUGUUGUCCGUGUGUUAUUGCUUACAAUGAUCCUCCAUCAACAUUGAUUAUGGUGACCGAGGGAUCGAGAACCGAGGGGAUUAGAGUCCAUUACAACAUUAACCCUUUCAGCUUGGUGUCAGAAGUGGGAUAGAUAGAAGUUGGAUCAGCAAAACCAUUUG